AAGUCGUAACAACGGUUUCCGUAGGUGAACCUGCGGAAGGAUCAUUACUGAGUGAGGGCCUCUGGGUCCAACCUCCACACCGUGUUUAUGUACCUUGUUGCUUCGGCGGGCCGCCUUAUGCGCCGGGGGCUACGCUCCGGCCGCGCCGCCGAAGAACCCUCGAACUCUGUCUGAAGAUUGUAGUCUGAGUGGAAUUAUAAAUUAUUAAAACUUUCAACAACGGAUCUCUUGUUCCGGCAUCGAUGAAGAACGCAGCGAAAUGCGAUACGUAAUGUGAAUGCAGAAUUCAGUGAAUUAUCGAGUCUUUGAAAGCACAUUGCGCCCCUGGUAUUCCGGGGCAUGCUGUCCGAGCGUCAUUGCUGCCCUCAGCACGCUUGUGGUUGGGCCCGUCCUCCGAUCCGGGGAGCGGCCGAAAGCAGCGGCGGCACCGCGUCCGUCCUCGAGCGUAUGGGGCUUUGUCACCCGCUCUGUAGGCCCGGCCGGCGCUUGCCGAUCAAACCACAUUUUUUCCAGGUUGCCUCGGAUCAGGUAGGGUACCCGCUGAACUUAA
This 550-nucleotide ribosomal RNA is filed under the name uncultured fungus. RNAcentral's name for it is "eukaryotic LSU rRNA". The stretch from base 209 to 356 matches the Rfam family "5.8S ribosomal RNA". The record is from RNAcentral. Lineage: Eukaryota; Fungi.